CUGGGUCGAUGAGACAUGCGGAUUUAGGGUCGGGGGUCUGGGCUCGGGGAACGCGAGAGACUCCGAGGGCGUCUGCCGAUCCACACUCCUGUUUAUUAGUUCCGCCAACAAGGUGCUGAGCCGGGACCGACGUCAGGCCUGUCUCUCAGGGGGCUGUCAGGCAGGUAGUGACCGCAGAGCAGUGUAGACAGCGGCGAGUGCCCCCAGCAGCCUGCUCCGGUGGCAGAUACCUGGCACCUGGACUCAGAGAAGGCUUCCUGGCAGCGGUGACGCUCUCACAAGUGCGUCAUGUCCAGCAUAGACAUUGUCCCCUGAGCUCUAGACUCAAGUGUCCAGGUGGCCCCACUCUGCUCACAGACCUGCCUGAACAAAGUCCUGAUUCCCAGCCUGCCCGGGACAUCCUCCCACCUUUCAUGGAGUCGUUACGAAAGGCCGCACUUACACCAUUCUGGAUCCUUCCCUUUCCCUCCCUCCCACCUCAUCCAUCUUUGCAUCCGGUUCAUCAGUCCCUUGAAUGAAAAUCCCAAACCACCUGCUUUUCGUCUGUGUCACGUGGGUUGGCGCACUCCCCACCCUCCACACCGCACCUAGAAUGAGCAUACCCUAGGGGUCAACUCACUCCUAUGGCCGCUUACGCCCCACCCCCUGCCCAGCCCCCAGGCCAUUGCCUGAUCUGGUCCCUGCGCACCUAUCUGUCCCCCUUCCUCCCCUCUACACUCAGCCCCUCCCUCUCCUGGGGAUUUGUUGUUUCCUUCUGUUUCUCCUGCCUUCCUUUCCUUGAGCGGUUUCCAUAAUUCCAUCUCCUUUAUAUUAGUUUAUUUAGCUAUACUUAAAAACUUUUUUUUUUUGAAGUUUACUUAUUUAUUUUGAGAGACAGAUAGAGAGUGAGCAGGAAAGGGCAGGGAGAGAGAAAGAGAGAGAAUCCCAAGGAGGCUCCAUGCUGCCAGCGUGGAGCCUGACCCUGGGCUCGAACUCACAAACCGUGAGAUCAUGACCUGAGCCAAAACCGAGUCGGACGCUUAACUGACUGAGCCACGCAGGCGCUGCCCCACCCCCGCCAAAAAUUUUUUGAGUGGUUGCUUUAGGGGUUAUAGUACACAUACACUAUUCCAUCCAAUAAUAUUCUACCACUUCUGCACGAGAACCUGACAACAGGACGGUUGUAUGUCCCCUCCCAGCCUCUAUAUUCUCGUUAUCACAUUCUUGGAUUCUGCUUGUGUCAAAGCCUGCAAGACAUUGCCAUUCUUGUCGUUGCUGUCAUUAUGACGGCUGUGUCGAGAAAUAAUCCACAUACCAUACCAUUGGUCCAUUCAGAGUGUAUAACCCAAUGGUUUCUGGUACAUUCACAGAGCUGGGCAGCCAUCAGCACAUUCUGUAACAUUUUCAUCACCUCCUCCAAAAUCAUCCCCAUCAGCAGUCCCUCCCGUUUAUUCCUGACCCUCAAGCCCCAGGCAACUCCUAGUCUCCCUUCUGUGUCUCUAGAUUUGCCCUUUGCAGAAGUUUCAUAUACAUAAGAUCUCACAGUGUGUGGCUUUUUGUGACUGGCUUCUUUCCGUUGGCAUCAUGGUUUCAUGUUUUAGCGUGUUUCGCUGUUUUAUUCCUUUUUAUUGCAAAAUGGUAUUUAAAAAAAAAACAACUGUAAUGUUUAUUUUAGAGAGAGAGAGAGAGAGCGCACACAUGAGCAGGGAGGGGCAGAGAGAGAGGGAGACACAGAAUCCGGAGCAGGCUCCAGGCUCCGAGCUGUCAGCACAGAGCCCGACGCGGGGCUCAGACUCACGAGCUGUGAGAUCGUGACCUGCGCUGAGGUCAGAGGCUUAAGCGACAGAGCCACCCAGGCGCCCCGCAAAAUGGCAUUUCGUUGCGUGGGUAUGCCACAUUUCAUUUAUCCAUUCAGCAAUCACAAGAUGUUUCAUUUCCCCCCGCCCACAUGUUGGCUAUUAACGAAUGAUGCUUCCGUGAAUAUCCACGUACAGGUUUUUUUGAGCGGUCGUAUCUUUUCAUUUCUCUUGGGUGUACAUCUAGGAGUAGAACGGUUGAGUGGCCAUCACUAUUAUUUUUUACUUUAACCAGUCAGUCCUUUUUUGUGAAACUUUGUGUUUUGUGAUAGCUGGAGAUUCCCCCCAGGCAGGUUGGGAGAAAUGAUACACAGAGGGGCGCCUGCCUGGCUCAGCUGGUGGGGCGUGUGAUUCGUGAUCUCGGGGUUGUGAGUUCGCACCCCCCCGGUUGGAUGUAGAGGUUACUGAAAAAUAAAAUAUUAGGGGUGCCUGGGUGGCUCAGUUGGUUGGGCAUCCAACUCUUGAUAUCGGCUCUCUCAAAAGAGAUACACUUUUGAACAUAAAUAAAUAAAAUAAAAUCUUAAAAAAAAGAA
This is a long non-coding RNA of Neofelis nebulosa (Clouded leopard), 2368 nucleotides long. RefSeq lists it as uncharacterized. The record is from RefSeq and is a predicted model, not a curated record. Lineage: Eukaryota; Metazoa; Chordata; Mammalia; Carnivora; Felidae. The transcript is spliced from 2 exons.